Strongylocentrotus purpuratus (purple sea urchin) is the source of this 6653-nucleotide long non-coding RNA. RefSeq lists it as uncharacterized. The record is from RefSeq and is a predicted model, not a curated record. NCBI's taxonomy places the organism in Eukaryota, Metazoa, Echinodermata, Echinoidea, Camarodonta, Strongylocentrotidae. The transcript is spliced from 4 exons.
UUUAGAUGUGAUAGAACCCUCACAGUUUGUCAAGAUUCAAGAAAUGCUCUUCAGGCAGCUAGCAAAGUGUGUUGCAAGUCCACACUUCCAGGUUGCAGAACGUGCCCUGUACUUCUGGAAUAACGAGUACGUAGUGAGCUUGAUAGAGGAGAACAUCCAGGCUAUCAUGCCCAUUAUGUUCACCAAUCUCUACAGGAUAUCCAAGACCACUGGAAUCAAACUAUUGUUGCCUUGGUCUACAAUGUACUCAGGACACUGAUGGAGAUGAAUAGCAAGCUAUUUGAUGAACUCACUACCAGCUAUAAGGCAGAUAGACAAAAAGAGAAGAAGAAGGAGAAGGAAAGAGAUGAACUGUGGAAACGCUUGAGUAAACUGGAAAUGAACCAUCUAAAUAACCAAACCAACAGCAGUUAGACAUUAUUGACUUGUAGAAUGUAGACAUGGCAGUGGAGAUUUGUUGUGAGGACUUGCCACUGAAAUGCCAUCAGAGAGUCGGUCUUCUCUUCUCUGUGUUUCCCUCUGGGAAUGGAAGACCUGACUGAUGGAGGGAGCUUUGAUUCCCCCGUUGCUGCAUCGGGCGGGCGAAACCACAAAGUUUGGGCCAAAACCGAUAGUUUGCUGCUGUUUCAGUGGAAGUGCAUGAAUGUUGUUCGUUAUCUUUAUAUUUAUUUCUUAUCCAAUCGAGUGUCAAUGAACUCACAGUGAGCUAGCCUGGGAGGCUGGCUCCGUAGUAAAGAAGGACAAGUGGAGGAAAGCAGAGAUGAAAGCAGAGAUGAAAGCAAGUCAUACCAAUGUGAGACGCAUCCUGUUGGGAGGAUACCGGUAAAGAGGUUGGAAAUAUCACAGUCUACAUAAAAAAGAAGCUGCUCACUUUCUCUCUCUCCUAUACAUCUGUUUCCUCAGUUGAUUAGCAUGAAUAUCUCUGUCACCUUGCCUCUUUAUCACUAGAUUACCCUAUAGUUUCAUGUCUCUUUUAUGUGUGUUUGUCGUAGCUGAUGUCUACUAUAAUGAGCGGCAAUAGCUCGGUGGGUUUUUUAUUUUAAGGAAGAAAACAAUGUGUUCUCUUAAAAGACUGAUGUGGAACAUGUAUUUUAAAUGGAUAAUGUACUUAACAAAAUGAAAAGUUUCCUGUUUUACCUGUUACAUAUUUACUCCUAUUGGAGACUUCUUUUAUAUUCCUUCAUCUAAAAGCUCUUCUAGAAGUUACACUCUGCAUGCUUCUCCCUCCCUGUGGCUUAUGGGUAUGAUUUGAAUACAAGAGUACAGUACACUUAUCAACAGCUCAGCAGUGAAAAGAGAAUAUUACGAGGAGAAGCCAAAAAUGUCUGUACCUCAAACUAAAUUGGCACUAAACCCAUGCUCAAAGAUUCAUCUAAUUCAUAUUUUAAUGGCUAGCGAAUAUAGUUUGUAUUAUUCCUAAGCUUUAUUAAUGGGUUUAAUUACUUUGUGAUUGACUUUGUGAUUAAUCAGCCAUAGACGAUCUAGAGUUUACAUUGUGUUUGUUUGUACAGAUAGACUAAAUUAUUCUCCAGAUUUAUAAAAUUCUCUCUUUUCUUCACAUCAUGUCAGUGGUUGUGUUUAUUGUGGCUAGGAUUUUGAAGCAAUUGUUCCAGGAAUGAUAUGCUUGAUAUUUUUUCUGAAAUAAAUCUUCUGUUUCCGAUUCACAAUGUCUAUCAUUGACAUACUACUUGUAUAAUUUCUGUGCUGGAAUAUUAGCAGAUAUGUUACAAGAAAGUAGAAACAAUAUUGGGUUAUUGAAGCAUCCAAAGAUGAUUCUGCUGUACAUGAAAUGAAUGAGGAAUAACUUUUAGAUAUAUGACCUAUGUUUAUGUUCAUACAUUUGUCUCAAAUCUAAUUGGAAUAUAAGUUUUUAUUUAUUUAACUCAAUUUUAAAUUGUAAAUGGUAUUAAGAUAAUCCUUGAAUAUCUACAUGGAUUAAUAUAUAGUAAGACGAUUUAAGCUUUUGCUGGUAAAUCUCUUCACAAUGAAUACUCCAGGGAGAUAAGAUUCUUAUGGGAACAUGGUCUUUCUUUGCAGAUGAUCCCUAAUGCAGUUCUGACUGUGUUCUGUUUAAACCCAUUAGCACCUGGAAAGACACAUCAGUGCCAUUUACUCUCACAUUGAAACAGUACAUUGCAUACUAUAUUUUAUAGUUUUGAGAUAUGAAGAAGUUUUCGAGGCAGCACACCAUCUUCAAUAUAAAAUCAAUCUAACAAGUAUAUCUUGUGCUGCAGCAUAUUCACACUUUGGUUGCUUUCUUCACCCCUCUGUGGAACACAAUGGCUGUGCAAAAUUACCCAUUGUGAUCUUGAUUAGCUCCAUGACAACCCUUUUAACAUGGGUACGGAUUAAUCUAACAGUAAAAUGAUAUUGAAGCCGUUGGUAUACCUGGGUCCUGUCUUAUAAAGAGUAACGAUUGAUCAAAAUCAACCGUAAGUCCUCCAAUCAGUGGCAAGUUUGCAGUCUCCUAUCUCUUACGUACAUAGUUGCGAUUGAUAUCAACUCUUUAUAAGACGGGCCCUGCUAUCUUACCCCAUAUAUCUAUCCCAGUGGAGGCAAAGGGAGAUUAUUUGUGUGGCAAUGGAUGGUUUUGGGCAGGUGAGGACCUGUUAGAGAGGAUUGGUUCUAGAAAGUGUAGGUGCUCAAAGGUUGUUUGUAUCAAAGAGCUACCAAUCUAUUAUUGUCGGGGGGAAGUAGCAUGCCAAAGUAGAUGUAUGAUUUCACGUCAAAAUAUGUACUCAUUUCUCCAAUGCCAGAUACUCACUAUGAACCCUUGCUAUUAACAAUUAGAUCACUGUGAAGGUUUCACUUGGAGGGGAUAACCUUCACUUUUUACAAUCAUUUAAAAUUAACUCUUUUCAAUUUGUCUGUGUUAAAGUGAACAUUUAAUUUUGUUGUGACAAUAAUUUUGGUUGUAUGCAAUGUGAAAGAGCUUUUGCUCUCCCAUAUUCUUAAAGGGGGAGGGGGGGGGGGGGGGGGAAUGACUUUGUAUAUGUUAAAAAAAGAAGCAACAUGUAUGAUUUCAGUAUAUUUAUACAAAAAUCUUUUAAACAUGAUUAGUAACAUUUGUCGUGAUAACAGGUUUUCACCUGAUUGUGAAGAUGUAUCAGUUUUCUAAGUUGUAACGAUUGUAUUCGAGUUAAAAAAGCACUUCAAUUCUAAAAGCACCUUAAUUUGGUCAGAUUAUUUUAGUGUACCGAUAACAGAUGCUAGGGUUUGUAAUCAAAUAUACUGGUGUAGUUGUAGUGGUUUAACGAUGGGGUAUUCUACUGACACUACGUCAGAUUUACGUUUACUGCCAUCUGCUGCUCAGAAUGUACCGAUGUGGUGACAGCCAUGUCCCACAAUGCAUCACCCACAGAUUACAUGCGUGGUGAUGCUUGGGUACAGGAACCGGAAAUCGCUGUAUGUACGCCUUUACCAAAAGAUGGUGUUAUUGAAGAUACAUUACAGCAGUGGCAGCAAUGUUUGUAAAAUACCCUGCCUUUAAUAAAGCCAGUAAAUCCCUGUUUGGAUAUUGUAACAGAAUUCAGAAGUAUACAUUGAUGUAUUACAGUACUCCAAAGUGCUGGAGCGAUUAGAAAUAUUUUUAAGUGCCAUGAACCAAGAUGUGUUUUUAUCAACCAAAAUAUGAAAUUAAAGCGUAAUUGUUAAUACUAUGUUUUUUGUUCAUUUCCUAAUGAAUUUGCACUGUUGUGCAUAGCAUGAUUUUCCACUAACUUACAGGUAUUUGUCAGAUGAGGGUUACCAAGAUAUGUGUUACAAUAGAAGCAGCUUCAGUUACAUGUAUUUAUCUCACCUCCCUCUAUUGCCUGUGCAUUACACUUUCCCUCUUGAAUCUAUAAAUGAGUAGAGAAGGGAAACAAUUCUUUAUGGCAAUCACACACACUUAUGAUGAUUAUAAUGGUGUUGACACCUUGGGCUAAGAAGUGGCCCUUUUGAUUAAAUGAGACCUAACUCCUGACAACAGACCCAACCAAAAUUAAACCCCCCCCCCCCCCCUCAAAUGGCCAAGAAUUGAUCGGUGUGGAUACUCUUUGUGGAGUCGAUCUGGCUGUGGGGAAAAGAAUUGCAAAUGUAUAAGGUGCAAAUGAUUCAGUGACAUGUCGUCUUUGUUUAAAUUUUCAAAUGAAAUGACGAGACAUGUUGCACCUUUCACGAGCUAACCAGUCCUAUAACGGUGAUCUUCCUCAUUGAGAGACAUUAUUAUCUGACUUGGUUGCUGUUGUGUUUUUUUUUUCUUUUCAAAUGCAAAGACUUUUUGGGGCUCCAUAUCUGAUCACUGUAUAAUUGUAUUACUUGAUUGGUUUCCAGUUGGAUUACCACUUCUAUUAGGUUAACCUGUAACUAUUUUAAGGUUUAAAGAGAGAGAGCUGGAUCUAGUUGUAAUUAAGAAUCUGAAUAGAAGCUUUCCCUUUCUCCAUUACUAUAGAUAUUAGACUAUUGCACAGGAUUUUUACCUUCAUAUAGAUUCAUGAAAGUGAUGAAAUCAAGGUAGAAAUGGUACAAAAUGUCACUGCCUCUGCACUGUAAUGCAGCUUAAGAAACCCAAGAUUUGUUACUGUUGAUUGUAAUGAUUUAAGUUCAGGAUUUGAACCAACAGGGAGAAUUAAUAUGUAUUCAUAUAUUACAUUAUGUUAUAUUAGUUGCAUUUGUUAGAUUGACCAGUAAAUGUGUAUGUAUAUAUAAGCUGAAUAUGUACAUAUAUAUAUUCAGUUUGAUGCAACUAAUAACAAACUUUUCUUAUUUGCCAUGCUUGGUUGUAUUUAUGAAUAGCAUGAAAUUGAACAGCAUACUAAACUCAAUGAUCUAAAAUCAUGAAAAUAAUGAGAAGAGUAUGACUCGUGCAUACACUGCUUCUGUAACAUUGUUGAUUUCUGACUCUCAAUCUCUCUCUCUCUCUCUCUUUCUCUCUCUCUGCCUCUCUCUGCCUCUCUCUGCCUCUCUCUCUCUCUUACAAAAACUGCUUGUCUCGCCCCUCCCCUGUGAACUUCAUAACAGUAAAGGUGGAGGCACAUUUCAAUCAUUCUUUACAAUAGUCUGAAGCUAAGAAAAUACAUUUGUGUUCUCUCUCUCUCUCAUGUAUUUGUUUCAUUUAGUUGGUUUAUAGGAAUGUUAAGAGGUAGCCCUUGCUUUUUCAUGUGCAUGCAAACAGCUUUCAAAUUACAUAUUCUGUAUUUACCACUGACAUGUUGAACUUCUGGUCCUGAUUAUGCGAGAUAUUUUGCAGAAGAUUUAUGUAUAAGAAAGUAUUUUAGUAACAUGAAAGGUUUCAAAGAGCAACACAUAUUUUUCUUUUACCUGGCGUCUGGUGAGCUGCCAAAAUAAUUAAGCAGGUGUAACAGCACACAUACGUUCUCCACAUGUAAUGCUUUUCUAGAAAAUAAUUAACAGUUUUUAUAUGAUAUCCAUAUCCUCAUCAUCAUUUUGACAAAUUGAUUCACUAUUUAGAAGACUGGUUUCUUUAAUUUAUGUUUAUGAUUUCUGUUGUGUCAAUUUGCCAUAUGAGUAAGCUGUAGACCUCAUUUAUUUCUAUUGAGCUGAUUUGGAUUGUAUUUAAGAAGUUCACCCAUGCUAAACGCUGUGACUGUUUUUAAAUACUAUCUCUAUGAGAAAAAAAAGCUGAAUAGUUCACUUCUAUCUGUUGUGCAAGGAUUUUUUUAAAGAAAGGCCUCCUGUAGACUUGUAACCAACUUUAGCCACAUGUUUUGUAGCAUGUUCAAAUAGCAUUUUAUGAUAUGAUUUUUUUUUUUUCUGGGGGGGGGGAGGGGGCGUGGGUGCUACUUGUACAUGGCACUUUUGACACGAUGGUAACUUUUUUUUCUUCUGAUUGCGUUUAAUUUUCUUAAAAUAGAAUUAUGAAGCCACUUACUCUCUGUUUCUCUUUAGUACAAAUAACAAUAGCUGUGAUGUAGUAUCAUGUAAUGGUCACAAUGUAUUUAAGCAGUGAUCAUCCCUGUUGACCAUUUUGUACGGUAAACUAAAUGAUUCAUCCAAAAGUAGAUGAAUAAACUCCAUUAGUAUCUAGAGGUAUAGCACAUGUAACCUAGUCAAGUACGAGAGGUGCUUAACACAGCUAAAUAAUAAGCUAUAUUGGGCAUGUUGCUUACUCUGGUCCCAGUUAAUUUCUGUUCAUAUUUAUGUGUGUGUGUGACAUGGGAAUAUGUCUUGUAUAAAGAAUAUUACAAAAAAACAAAGUAUUCACUCAAAGAUUUUUGCACUUGUGUACAGGUAUGGUAAAGCUACGACAGUUAAAGUAGAUUGUGAUAGCAAGAAGCAAUUCCUCUUUUGAAACUAUAGUGACUAAAUCUCUAGCAAUUGUAUCAGUAUGAAUAUUUUUGUUUUUCUUGGUUCAAGUUGUACAACUUGUUAUAUCUGUAAAUAUAGUGUACAUUUUGUCUGUAUAUUCUACCGAGAGAAUAUCAUAGAGAUUAAAUAUUGCAAUUUUCCCAAGCUUUGAGACAACUAUUUCUUUAAAAAGGGGGUGUAAGAAAAAAAAAUGUUUGUGCAAGACCUCUGCAUACUUGAAAUGAAUUAAUGUAUUGCGCAGAUGUCUCUUCCUUUAUUUCUUAUGGGAGUAUUGAUAUUAUUUUUUGUUUAUCCAUAUGAUGAUGACAUAUGGGAAUGAGUAAAAACAGAAAAUGUUCAUGUGA